This 870-nucleotide long non-coding RNA is filed under the name Anolis carolinensis (green anole). RNAcentral's name for it is "lncRNA (ENSACAG00000035175.1)". Lineage: Eukaryota; Metazoa; Chordata; Lepidosauria; Squamata; Anolidae. The record is from RNAcentral.
AUGAUGGGAUUUUCGGGUCUCCAGCUAAGAUGCUUAAUAUUAACAGGCCUUUUUAUGUCUGGAGAAAUACACUCAUCUCCAGUGUCUGUAAGUCCUUACUUCGCAGACAACGCAAGAGGGAGCUCAGAAGAGGUGGUGCUAACACAAGGAAUGUCUCUCAGAAUAACUGCUUUCUGUGCCUAUCAAUAUUUACAAGGAGACAAGAUAUGGUGCAAAGAAACAGAGCAGAAGGAAUGCGAUCUUAACAAAUCUUUCAGCCUUUCAGAAUGGAAGUUUCUAUCUACUAUACCCAACCAAAAGAUCACAUUGGAGAGUCCAAGAAAUGGAUGCCUUUCUCUGUUCAUGACUGCUCUUGAAGUAGAAGAUUCAGGGACAUACUGGUUUGGACUUCUUGAUGGCUUGAAGAUGAUCUCUUCGAAGAAAAUUAAAGUGGUGGUUCAUGAAAAUCCUCUGGUGCCUACAAUGAUAUUCUCACCUCCAACCUCUAUGACUCCUUCCUCUGAAAGUCCUAACAAGUCAGGAAGGAGAUUACAAGAAGUGAUCAAGGUGCAAGGAGAAUCCCUCAUCAUGAAAGCUUUCUGUUCCCAACAACAUCAAUCAAAGAAGAUCUGGUGCAAAGGAGAUAUACUAAAGGAAUGUGAUCUUGACAAACCCGUAGGCAUCUCAGCAACAGGAUGGCAAUAUCUGACUCCUAAACCAAACCAAAAAGUUAUAUUAUUGGAUUCAGGAAAUGGCUGCAGUUAUUUUUUCAUAUCUGAUCUUCACAUGGACGAUUCAGGGAUAUAUUGGUUUGGGAUACUUGAGGAUCUGAAUAUUAUCCCUUUAAGAAAAUUCAAAGUGAUCGUUCAAAAGAGCCAGAACCAAGCGUGA